Molecule: ribosomal RNA, 430 nt
Filed under: uncultured bacterium
Lineage: Bacteria
Description: partial 16S ribosomal RNA
Rfam family: Bacterial small subunit ribosomal RNA
Source: RNAcentral
ACGAACGCUGGCGGCAGGCUUAACCCAUGCCAGUCGCGCGCCCCGCAAGGGGAGCGGCAGACGGGUGAGUAACGCGUGGGAACGUACCUUUUGGUUCGGAACAACUCCGGGAAACUGGAGCUAAUACCGGAUAAGCCCUAACGGGGAAAGAUUUAUCGCCGAAAGAUCGGCCCGCGUCUGAUUAGCUAGUUGGUGAGGUAACGGCUCACCAAGGCGACGAUCAGUAGCUGGUCUGAGAGGAUGAUCAGCCACACUGGGACUGAGACACGGCCCAGACUCCUACGGGAGGCAGCAGUGGGGAAUAUUGGACAAUGGGCGCAAGCCUGAUCCAGCCAUGCCGCGUGAGUGAUGAAGGCCUUAGGGUUGUAAAGCUCUUUUGUCCGGGAAGAUAAUGACUGUACCGGAAGAAUAAGCCCCGGCUAACUUCGUG